GAUGAACGCUGGCGGCGUGCCUAAUACAUGCAAGUCGAGCGAACGGACGAGAAGCUUGCUUCUCUGAUGUUAGCGGCGGGCGGGGGAGUAACACGUGGAUAACCUACCUAUAAGACUGGGAUAACUUCGGGAAACCGGAGCUAAUACCGGAUGAUAUUUUGAACCGCAUGGUUCAAAAGUGAAAGACGGUCUUGCUGUCACUUAUAGAUGGAUCCGCGCUGCAUUAGCUAGUUGGUAAGGUAACGGCUUACCAAGGCAACGAUGCAUAGCCGACCUGAGAGGGUGAUCGGCCACACUGGAACUGAGACACGGUCCAGACUCCUACGGGAGGCAGCAGUAGGGAAUCUUCCGCAGUGGGCGAAAGCCUGACGGAGCAACGCCGCGUGAGUGAUGAAGGUCUUCGGAUCGUAAAACUCUGUUAUUAGGGAAGAACAUAUGUGUAAGUAACUGUGCACAUCUUGACGGUACCUAAUCAGAAAGCCACGGCUAACUACGUG
This 497-nucleotide ribosomal RNA is filed under the name uncultured bacterium. RNAcentral's name for it is "partial 16S ribosomal RNA". It matches the Rfam family "Bacterial small subunit ribosomal RNA", at positions 28 to 507 of the family's 1533-position model. The record is from RNAcentral.